UUGAGAUGGCCGUAGGUGCUGGAGAUUUCGAUGCAGAUGGUGAUACACAGAGUAUUUACCUAGUGGGAUACUCUGAAGUGAGUAUCCCGAUGGUUUCAGAAGCAAGUUUAGUAGUAAGUGCUUGUAAGAGGGAUGUUUAAGGCGAGCUCGCGUCCUAUCAGCUAGGGCAAUGUAACGGCCUAUCAAGGCUUUCACGAGUAGUGGCCGAGAGGGUGGUCAACCACAUGGGGACUAGACUCUCCCCAACUCACCGGGAGGAGCUGUCGAAAUAUUUGCAAGGGAGAAAGCCUACUAUGUACGCCGCGUAGGGAUAAGCCAUGGACUUGAAACCCCCA
RNAcentral lists this ribosomal RNA (335 nucleotides) under uncultured beta proteobacterium. Its description in RNAcentral is "bacterial SSU rRNA". The record is from RNAcentral. Lineage: Bacteria; Pseudomonadati; Pseudomonadota; Betaproteobacteria.